Molecule: ribosomal RNA, 253 nt
Filed under: uncultured bacterium
Lineage: Bacteria
Description: partial 16S ribosomal RNA
Rfam family: Bacterial small subunit ribosomal RNA
Source: RNAcentral
UACGUAGGUGGCAAGCGUUGUCCGGAUUUACUGGGCGUAAAGGGCGCGUAGGCGGCCUGGCGCGUCGGCUGUGAAAUCUCCCGGCUCAACUGGGAGGGGACGGCCGAUACGGCUGGGCUUGAGCGAGGUAGGGGAGAGUGGAAUUCCCGGUGUAGUGGUGGAAUGCGUAGAUAUCGGGAGGAACACCAGUGGCGAAGGCGGCUCACUGGCCCGGUACUGACGCUGAGGUGCGAAAGCGUGGGGAGCAAACAGG